This 312-nucleotide ribosomal RNA is filed under the name Phyxelida tanganensis. RNAcentral's name for it is "partial 12S ribosomal RNA". Lineage: Eukaryota; Metazoa; Arthropoda; Arachnida; Araneae; Phyxelididae. The record is from RNAcentral.
AAGUAGUAAAAUAUUAAAUUAAAACUUAUUUAAUUUGGCGGCAUCUCAUCUUAUCAAAGGAAUUUGUUUUAUAAUCGAUAACCCGCGCUAAAUUUAACUUUUUUUAUAAAUUUAUAUACCGUCAUAAAAACAAAAUUUAUCAAUUUUUUUUAAAAACAUCUAAAAUUUUAGAUAAAGGUGUAAUCCAAAUUUAAGCAAAAAUGAAUUACAAUUAAUAUAAUUUAAGGAAUAUAAUUAUAAAUAAUCAUACAUAAUAAGGAUUUGUUAGUAAUUAUAUAAAAUAUUAUAUAUUGAAUAAGAAAAUAAAUGUGC